GAUGAAGAACGUAGCGAAAUGCGAUAAGUAAUGUGAAUUGCAGAAUUCAGUGAAUCAUCGAAUCUUUGAACGCACAUUGCGCCCGCCAGUAUUCUGGCGGGCAUGCCUGUUCGAGCGUCAUUUCAACCAUCAAGCCCCCGGCUUGUGUUGGGGACCUGCGGCUGCCGCAGGCCCUGAAAAGCAGUGGCGGGCUCGCUGUCACACCGAGCGUAGUAGCAUACAUCUCGCUCUGGGCGUGCUGCGGGUUCCGGCCGUUAAACCACCUUCAUAACCCAAGGUUGACCUCGGAUCAGGUAGGAAGACCCGCUGAACUUAAGCAUAUCAAGCGAGGA
RNAcentral lists this unclassified non-coding RNA (332 nucleotides) under soil metagenome. RNAcentral's name for it is "partial contains 5.8S ribosomal RNA, internal transcribed spacer 2, and large subunit ribosomal RNA". The stretch from base 1 to 120 matches the Rfam family "5.8S ribosomal RNA", at positions 35 to 154 of the family's 154-position model. The record is from RNAcentral.